Molecule: non-coding RNA, 4993 nt
Organism: Macaca mulatta (Rhesus monkey)
Lineage: Eukaryota; Metazoa; Chordata; Mammalia; Primates; Cercopithecidae
Source: RefSeq, a predicted model, not a curated record
CCGCCUGCCUCGGCCUCCCCAAAUGCGGAGAUUACAGGCAUGAGUCACCGCGCCCGGCCUGGAUGGAGGAUUUCUAUGUCCAGGAUGAUUUGAGCCUUUCUGCUGUUUCAGUUCUACUCUCAUUUUUCCUUUUUUCUUUUUUUUUAAAAUGUUUUAGAGACACGAUCUCACUUUGUCACCCAGGCUUCAGUGCAGUAACAUGAUCACGGCUCACUGCAGCCUCAAACUCUUGCCUCAGCCUCCGAAGGAGCUGGGUGUACAGGUCACCACACAGGGCUAAUGGUUUUUUUAUUAUUUUUUUUUGGUAGAGAUGGAGUCUUGCUUUGUUGCCCAGGCUGGUCUUGAACUCCUGACCUCAAAUGAUCCACCCGGCCUCUCAAAGUGCUGGAAUUACAGGUGUGAGCCACCACACUCGGCCCUUUCAUUUCUUGUUACCGUCAGAAAAGAGAUAGGCCACAUUUGCCUGUGGCUGCAGCAGCCUACCCACCCACCUGCCUCUCAUCACUGCUCUAAUCAAUUAUGGCUUCCGUGUCUUUAUGAUGCCUCUAUUCCAAAUAUCACACCUUUCACAAUACCGCCGAAAUAAAAACACUCCUCAAGGUGUGAUCAUAUGUAAUGUGCAAAAUGGGUCCUCAGUUCUAUAAAAUCAAGUUUUUAUAGCAUGGGUUAGGUUACAAAUUUUGUUAUUUGACUUACUUUAUUAGCUAAUUCUGUUCUUGUCAUUAAACGCCCUGUUUUGUUUUGCCAACAGUACUCUCAUGUGGUUACAAUGGGGUAGCCCCAAACACGUGACUAAUAAGAAGAAACAGUAACGGUGUAUGUGUCCAGGAUUCUAACUGAAAAAUUGAUUGGGGGCUCAGGUGGCACAGGAUGGCUGGAGUGGGCUGGAGUUGGAUAUUUCCCUCACCCAAGGUAGGUAGACUCCAAGAAAACCAUGGCAAGCGAGUCUCUGGUUAACUAGUUUCUUCUGAAGGCAGGCCUUGGUAAGAAGAGAAUGCUCUGGUGUAUUUCAAAAUAGAUCCUUUUCUCCUCCCCUCGCUGGAAGCAGGAUCCUGUUUGAUCUCUAGGAGGCAAAACUCACGAAAGUGUGCCCCUUCCCCCUCCGUGCCUGGUCACUGGGUCUAGCCAGAGUUUUUACCUCCAGACUUGUCCACCAUGAACCCCCAGCACUUCGUCAAUUACAGUUCAGGUGUUUCUACCCUGGCACUGGAUCCAUGGAGGUUGCUCCUCCAUGGAUUUCUGCUCUGAUAAAUCGUCAUUCACUUGUCUGUCUAAUUUAGAGGCAGUGGUUUGGCCUGUGAUCUCACUUCCCUGACAGAUCUAAGAAGAGCUGUUCAUCGCUUUUUCAGUUCGCUCAGCUUUUGACUUGUAAGGGUGUUGAGAAGACUUCUUCACUCCUUAUGUGCUGGAUCAGAAACCAGAAGUUCACGAGUAUCCUUUGAGUAAAGUGUUUCAAAUAGUUUCAAAGCCACCUUCUAUACUUACAUUCAAGUCAUAUUUCUGCCAUGUGCCUCAAAGAUAUUGUUGCUGUUAAUUCAGCAUAGAUUUAUUUUUAUGCUAAUACCUAUUUUGUUGGAGAUUGUGCACUGAAAGAUAGAUAUUGGUAUCUAUUUGACAACAGAUAUAUAAAUGUUCGCCACCCAAUAUCCGUUCUCUUUCUUCUGAUAACACACACUGACCUGUUUUCCUCUAGAGAACCAACUCCUGCCCCAGUCUCAACACACCUGAUUCUCAGUUGGAGCUGCUGGCUGCAGCAGUGGACCCUGCCUGGUCAGCUUUGUCAUCCUUUGGUCAUGUUGGAUGUUCAAGGAUGCUCCUGUGAUCAAUCCCAUUGAGCCUGCAAGGGCUGGGUUCAUCUUGAACCGUAUGAAAAUAAAAUAUGUCUUAUUCUUUUUCCUACUAGACUUGAAUCUUGUAAAAAUUAAGGCUUCACCUGCUAGGGUCACCACAAGUUGUAGGUAGGUUCUACCUGAAAUGGAGACAGCACAGAAGAAAACUGAAGCAAGAGAAGAAGACAAAUCAGCUCCUGAUAAUGUGAUGUGAAGUACGAGGUCCUUGCAGGCUCAAAUAAGUUUCUAACUGGUUCUCUUUGUAAUCACCAGAGCAAAUUCACAUCUUCCCCCACACCCCACCCCCCAAGCUUAUUUGAAUUGAAGUCUUCUGUCACUUGGAAUUUCAGAAGCCCUGACAAAUAAAAUGGUUCAUUAAUUGAAUCAGCUAUAUCACAAUUCAAAUGGUGGCCUGACAACAUAUCUGCAGAUAUCAAAAUCCUACCAUAAUAAUUAGACUAUAAAUGGUUUUUAGUCCUAUUUUCAGUAUUCUCAAAAGUACUCUCUUAGAAAUUAAGCCACCGCUUAUUCUGCACAAGAAUUCCUUUCAUGCCAUCCCAGCAAAUCUGCCUGUAUGCGCUCAGAUGCAGAACUGGUUCUGAAUUGUGCAAAGAGCCAACGUUGCCAGCUCUGCUCCAUUUUUUUCUGGCAGCCCCAGCAUCCAAUCAAGAUUUCUGGAUCUUUUCCAAUUAUAACACCAUUUGCAAAUACUCAGCAUUUUCCAGCCUUGAAUAAUGUAUUGAUCUCUUUAAAGUAGAAAAUAUUCUCACAGACCCCCAAUGUUGACUUAAAUUCUUUUUAUUGUAAUUUUACUUAAAUAUAAAUGCAAACAUAAAACACUACAAACUGUUAGGCUUGUAGCUUUUAGACAACUAUAAAAAUAAACUUACAGAUCAGAUAUAAUAUAAACUACAAAGCCAAUGAAAUGGAACUGAGCUACAUUAGCUUACCAGGGCAGAGCAGAGUAUUCCCGAAGCCCCAUGGCUGCUCAGCUUGGGAGGCCAAUGUUUCUAAUUACUCUGAGUCCUGAGCUCAGCAUUAUCAGAGGAUUCCUGCCUGGCAAGGCCUGGAUUCUCCAAAAUUUUUCUGUAUUUAGAUUAUUUCAAUGCUUCAUUAGAAUGGCUUCCCAUAAAGUCACUGGCCUCUACUUAACAUAACUAUAGCUGUUAUUUAUGAAGACUCUCUGCUGUUUCUUAUUGAAUCUGUGACUAGUAAAAUUGUACCAAAUCCAGUAUCAGCAUUAUAAUAAACAUUUGAGCUGUGAGAAAUAAAAUCACAUGAUGGCCCUCAGCAAGGUGAUCAUCUAAAGAUCUAGAAGAUGCUUAUGUAAUUUUUAAUCAACUUUACUGAGGAAUAGUUUACACACAAUAAAAUGUACAGACUUUAUAUGCUUGGAUGAAUUUUGACAAAUAUAUACAUUUGUAAACAAGACAUCAAUCAAAAUAUACAUUGUUACCCCUCAGUAACUUUCCUGUUGUCUAUUUCAGUCAAUAUCCUAUCUGACUGCUAUGAAAGUUGUCAGAAUCAAAAGGGAGUCACUAAUGUUAAGAAACUGCUGACAAAUAGAGCUGAGAAAGGCUCUGAGACUUCUCAUGCUUGUAUGCCUGAUAACAAAAAAGGCUACAAAACCCAAAAGUUUGCACAAAGGCUGUCACAACCCUACAAAAAAUCUUCCAGGACAUCUGCCCAGCAACUUCCCCGUCCAUCCUCUGGCUGGUGUCACCCUUGCUAUUGAUCUUUAUAGUCAAAGAUAAUUAUUUAAAAGCAAUUAUGAAAUUCUUCUCAUUUUCCCUUUAAAAUUCUUAGUUUUCCCUUACCUCCCUGAAUACACACAUAGUUUAGUAUGACAUGUGUAUUCCCACUGCACUGCCCUAUUCCCAGAUAAAUGUAUUUUCUUUUGGAGAGGCUGACUCUGUUUGUUUUUUGGGUUGAUAUUGCCAAACCAACCCUUCACACCCCCCAAUGUCAGAAAAUCACUUCCAUUUUGCUUAAGGACUUCCUAUACAUGGAAUCAUAUAGCACCAUAUAGUCUCGUGUGUCUGUCUUCUUUCACUCAAUACUAUGUUUUUGAGAUCUAUUCAUGUGAUUAUGUACAUUAGGAAGCUGUUCAUUUUUCUUGCUAAGUAGUGUCACAUUGUAUGGCUCUUCAAAAGUUUGUUUCUCCGUUCACCUGUUAAUGACAUUUGGGUUGUUUUGGGUUUUGGUUCAAGGUAAUUUUGUGAUGUAUCCAGAGUUAGAAGUCAAGGUCUCUUUCUUCCAUACAGAUACCUAACCUUUCCAUUAUCAUUUGUUGAGGACCUCUGAGGUCCUCAACCUCAGAGCAAACAAAAAUAUCCUAGAAAAGAUAACUUUCUUUUUCAGUAUUUGUCAAAAUUCCAUCAACUAUCAAGUGUAUUUGUCCAAUAUCUGUUCUGUUCCAUGGCUUUAAAGAUAGGUUUGCAUGCCAAUGCCAUUAGUGCCUUAAUUAAAUAUCUUUAUAUGAGAUAUAAACAUCUUUAUAUAAGCCUUGAAAUCAGGUAGUGUAGGUCCUUUUGAUUAAAAAAAAUGUAUUAGCUUUGAAUUUAUUGAGUAUAUUGCUUUGAAUUUCCUUAUGAGUAGUUGAAGCAACCUGUCAGCCUCUACUUGUUGGGUGGUAUUGAGUCCACAGGUCCACUGGGAGAGACCUGACAUCUUAAUAACAUUAAAUCUCUAAUCUAUGAACAUAGUACAUCUCUCUACAUGUUAAAUUGAUUUUCUCUGUGAAUUUUUUAAUACAAAGUUCUAACACACAAUUUAAAAAAUUUAUUACAAAGUAUUUUCUGUUUUUAGAUGUUAUUAUACGUACUUUAAAAUUUAUUUUCCAAUUGCUUCUUGCUAGUGUAUAGUAAUGAAAUUGGUUUUAGCAUAUUGACCUUAUGUCCUAUCACCUGGGUUAAUUCAUUUAUUCAUUCUAGUAAUUGCUUUGCAUAUUCCUUAGGAGUUUUUAAAGAAAAAACUUGUAUGGGCAUCAAAUAAAGACAAGUUUAAUUCUUUCUUUCAAUCUUUAUUACUUUUUUAUUUUUAAAUACUUCAUUUCAUUCGUUAGGGACUUCUAACACAAUGUGGAAUAAAAGGAUUCAGAGCCUUGCUCACAUUCACACAUGGAAAACAUUCAAAAUGGAUGAUUAAAUAUAAUAAUGGCCAUA